This 379-nucleotide ribosomal RNA is filed under the name uncultured bacterium. RNAcentral describes it as "bacterial SSU rRNA". It matches the Rfam family "Bacterial small subunit ribosomal RNA", at positions 270 to 643 of the family's 1533-position model. The record is from RNAcentral.
AAGGCGACGAUCAGUAGCUGGUCUGAGAGGACGACCAGCCACACUGGGACUGAGACACGGCCCAGACUCCUACGGGAGGCAGCAGUGGGGAAUUUUGGACAAUGGGGGAAACCCUGAUCCAGCCAUGCCGCGUGAGUGAAGAAGGCCUUCGGGUUGUAAAGCUCUUUCAGCCGGAACGAAACGGUCACGGCUAAUACCUGUGACUACUGACGGUACCGGAAGAAGAAGCACCGGCUAACUACGCCAGCAGCCGCGGUAAUACGUAGGGUGCAAGCGUUAAUCGGAAUUACUGGGCGUAAAGCGUGCGCAGGCGGUUUUGUAAGUCAGAUGUGAAAUCCCCGGGCUUAACCUGGGAACUGCGUUUGAAACUACAAAGCUA